Molecule: ribosomal RNA, 500 nt
Filed under: uncultured diatom
Lineage: Eukaryota; Bacillariophyta
Description: bacterial SSU rRNA
Rfam family: Eukaryotic small subunit ribosomal RNA
Source: RNAcentral
AUGGGUGGGGGGUGGUGCGUGCACGUUCUUAGUGGGAUGAUUGGUUUGUCUGAUAAAGUCCGCAAACGAACGAACCGCAACUUGAUAAAUAGUUUCACCUAACCUCGAUUAAGCUUGACAGUUUUAGAGAGAGAUUGUGUGUUGCAAAGGCAGGGAAGUCGAGGCCAAGAUAGGUUUUUGGUGUCCCCAUAAUUGAAGGGCCCGCACGCGCGCUACAUUGAUCACUCAUUAGGGUUCGACCUUGCCCGGGAGGGGUUUGUAAUCCUUUAAAGGUACAUCGUGAGAGGGGUCGGCAUUCCAUUUAUUUUAUUAAACGAGAAAUUCCUAGUAUGUUUUCGUCAUCAAACCUUAAAUUUUAGUCCCUGCCCUUUCACACACCGCCCGUCGCACCUACCGAUUGAAUGGUCCGGUGAGGCCUCGGGAUUGUGGCCCCUGCCAUUAAUUUGGUGGAGGCCGCGAGAACUGUCCAAACCUAUCAUUAGAGAAGGAAGUCGACAUCC